GUCCACGCUGUAAAACGAUGGGCACUAGGUGUCCGGGGUAUUGACCCCCUGGGUGCCGCAGCUAACGCAUUAAGUGCCCCGCCUGGGGGAGUACGGUCGCAAGAUUAAAACUCAAAGGAAUUGACGGGGGCCCGCACAAGCGGUGGAGCAUGUGGUUUAAUUCGACGCAACGCGAAGAACCUUACCUGGGCUAGACAACGGUGGACAGUCCUAGAAAUAGGAUCUUCCCUUCGGGGACUGCCGGUUCAGGUGCUGCAUGGCUGUCGU
RNAcentral lists this ribosomal RNA (267 nucleotides) under uncultured bacterium. RNAcentral's name for it is "partial 16S ribosomal RNA". It matches the Rfam family "Bacterial small subunit ribosomal RNA", at positions 793 to 1055 of the family's 1533-position model. The record is from RNAcentral.